UCGGGUUUCUCUCCUCUUCCAG
This 22-nucleotide microRNA is filed under the name Mus musculus (house mouse). RNAcentral's name for it is "mmu-miR-7027-3p". Lineage: Eukaryota; Metazoa; Chordata; Mammalia; Rodentia; Muridae. The record is from miRBase by way of RNAcentral.